This 436-nucleotide ribosomal RNA is filed under the name uncultured Oscillibacter sp. RNAcentral's name for it is "bacterial SSU rRNA". It matches the Rfam family "Bacterial small subunit ribosomal RNA", at positions 341 to 792 of the family's 1533-position model. The record is from RNAcentral. Lineage: Bacteria; Bacillati; Bacillota; Clostridia; Eubacteriales; Oscillospiraceae.
ACGGGAGGCAGCAGUGGGGAAUAUUGGGCAAUGGGCGCAAGCCUGACCCAGCAACGCCGCGUGAAGGAAGAAGGCUUUCGGGUUGUAAACUUCUUUUAUCAGGGACGAACAGAUGACGGUACCUGAUGAAUAAGCCACGGCUAACUACGUGCCAGCAGCCGCGGUAAUACGUAGGUGGCAAGCGUUAUCCGGAUUUACUGGGUGUAAAGGGCGUGUAGGCGGGAUUGCAAGUCAGAUGUGAAAUCUAUGGGCUUAACCCAUAAACUGCAUUUAAAACUGUUCUUCUUGAGUGCUGGAGGGGCAAUCGGAAUUCCUUGUGUAGCGGUGAAAUGCGUAGAUAUAAGGAGGAACACCAGUGGCGAAGGCGGAUUGCUGGACAGUAACUGACGGUGAGGCGCGAAAGUGUGGGGAGCAAACAGGAUUAGAUACCCUGGUA